RNAcentral lists this ribosomal RNA (506 nucleotides) under uncultured bacterium. RNAcentral describes it as "partial 16S ribosomal RNA". It matches the Rfam family "Bacterial small subunit ribosomal RNA", at positions 29 to 523 of the family's 1533-position model. The record is from RNAcentral.
AGUGAACGCUGGCGGUAGGCCUAACACAUGCAAGUCGAACGGCAGCACAGGAGAGCUUGCUCUCUGGGUGGCGAGUGGCGGACGGGUGAGGAAUACAUCGGAAUCUACUUUUUCGUGGGGGAUAACGUAGGGAAACUUACGCUAAUACCGCAUACGACCUACGGGUGAAAGCAGGGGACCUUCGGGCCUUGCGCGAUUGACUGAGCCGAUGUCGGAUUAGCUAGUUGGCGGGGUAAAGGCCCACCAAGGCGACGAACCGUAGCUGGUCUGAGAGGAUGUUCAGCCACACUGGAACUGAGACACGGUCCAGACUCCUACGGGAGGCAGCAGUGGGGAAUAUUGGACAAUGGGCGCAAGCCUGACCCAGCCAUACCGCGUGGGCGAAGAAGGCCUUCGGGUUGUAAAGCCCUUUUGUUGGGAAAGAAAUCCAGCUGGCUAAUACCCGGUUGGGAUGACGGUACCCAAAGAAUAAGCACCGGCUAACUUCGUGCCAGCCGCCGCAGUAA